This 112-nucleotide ribosomal RNA is filed under the name uncultured eukaryote. Its description in RNAcentral is "partial small subunit ribosomal RNA". It matches the Rfam family "Eukaryotic small subunit ribosomal RNA", at positions 1676 to 1785 of the family's 1831-position model. The record is from RNAcentral.
UCGCACCUACCGAUUGAAUGGUCCGGUGAGAAUUUUGGACCGUGGCGCCGCAGCUUUAACGAGAGGCGGCGCCGUGGGAAGUUAUUCAAACCUUACCAUUUAGAGGAAGGUG